RNAcentral lists this ribosomal RNA (258 nucleotides) under uncultured bacterium. RNAcentral describes it as "partial 16S ribosomal RNA". It matches the Rfam family "Bacterial small subunit ribosomal RNA", at positions 524 to 777 of the family's 1533-position model. The record is from RNAcentral.
UACGAAGGGGGGCUAGCGUUGCUCGGAAUCACUGGGCGUAAAGGGUGCGUAGGCGGGUCUUUAAGUCAGAGGUGAAAUCCUGGAGCUCAACUCCAGAACUGCCUUUGAUACUGAGGAUCUUGAGUUCGGGAGAGGUGAGUGGAACUGCGAGUGUAGAGGUGAAAUUCGUAGAUAUUCGCAAGAACACCAGUGGCGAAGGCGGCUCACUGGCCCCGAUACUGACGCUGAGGCACGAAAAGCGUGGGGGAGCAAACAGGG